CCUACGGGGGGCAGCAGUGGGGAAUAUUGCACAAUGGGGGAAACCCUGAUGCAGCGACGCCGCGUGAGUGAAGAAGUAUUUCGGUAUGUAAAGCUCUAUCAGCAGGGAAGAUAAUGACGGUACCUGACUAAGAAGCCCCGGCUAACUACGUGCCAGCAGCCGCGGUAAUACGUAGGGGGCAAGCGUUAUCCGGAUUUACUGGGUGUAAAGGGUGCGUAGGUGGCAGGGCAAGUCAGAUGUGAAAGCCCGGGGCUCAACCCCGGUACUGCAUUUGAAACUGUCCAGCUGGAGUGCAGGAGAGGUAA
RNAcentral lists this ribosomal RNA (305 nucleotides) under uncultured bacterium. RNAcentral describes it as "bacterial SSU rRNA". It matches the Rfam family "Bacterial small subunit ribosomal RNA", at positions 338 to 660 of the family's 1533-position model. The record is from RNAcentral.